Molecule: ribosomal RNA, 424 nt
Filed under: uncultured bacterium
Lineage: Bacteria
Description: bacterial SSU rRNA
Rfam family: Bacterial small subunit ribosomal RNA
Source: RNAcentral
UGGGGAAUAUUGGACAAUGGGGGAAACCCUGAUCCAGCCAUGCCGCGUGAGUGAUGAAGGCCUUCGGGUUGUAAAGCUCUUUUGUCAGGGAAGAUGAUGACGGUACCUGAAGAAUAAGCCCCGGCUAACUUCGUGCCAGCAGCCGCGGUAAUACGAAGGGGGCUAGCGUUGUUCGGAAUUACUGGGCGUAAAGGGCGCGUAGGCGGCUCUACAAGUCAGGAGUGAAAUCCCUAGGCUCAACCUAGGAAUUGCUUUUGAGACUGUAGGGCUUGAGUGCAGGAGAGGUAAGUGGAAUUCCCAGUGUAGAGGUAAAAUUCGUAGAUAUUGGGAGGAACACCAGUGGCGAAGGCGGCUUACUGGCCUGUAACUGACGCUGAGGCGCGAAAGCGUGGGGAGCAAACAGGAUUAGAUACCCCCGUAGUCC